GAAUCUCCAAUGCUCUAAAGAUCUUCUCACAUCUGGAUUGACUUAGACCAGUAGUCAAGACAACUGGUGAGCGCUUGUUUCAGAAGGCCUCACAGAAGAAAAACUGACGCUAACAACCUGAAUGCUGGUACGAUGUUUGCCAAGUCUGCUUCAGUCAGUCCUUUUACUUAAAGCUGCAUGUAUAUGAGCUGUAGAAUUUGUGUGGACCUUGUUUGGAAGGAGGCUAAUAAUAGUAGGUGAUAUUUGUUGUCCUAUGGCUGUAUCUUGGCAAAAUCGAUAUGCUUUUUGCCACUGGAAUGUGGGCUGCAUCAUUUUAUUUUUGGCUCGCUCACAUAUGCUAAUAAUAAAUGCAGUGUUUUUCUUAAGGGCUGACCCACAAGUUUUUUUUUUUUUUUUUUGAAAGAGUGCAAACAGCCAUGCAUUCAUUGGACGCAAGGCAAACAAUACACAAUGCUUAAGUAUAUGUUGUUUACCAAGAUCGUGGAUGAUACUUUUUUCAGUUGUAUUUAAUGUGAUAUUUUCUCGCGUUGUUUUAGUGGACAUUUUGUACUCCUGAACUUCUGAAGAGAAGGCCCGCCAAAAUAACUUCUCUGCUUCUGCUUAAGUUCCAUGAUGCUUUUUGAUGUGUUUUUGUAAUUUUACAGUAAAAACAUAACUAGAGUUUAGGGGAGUGGAUUAUCAUCAUCUUCAGUACGGGACAUUUGUGGAAGCUGAAUUACUUUAGUAUCUAGAAUUCUGCAUAGUGUCCGUCUUUCAUGCAGUAAGCUCUUGGUUCUCCUCCUCUUCCAUGUCAGGAGUUUGAAUUGAAAGAGAGGUAAAUAAUUGUAUGCAUUGUUGUGUGCCUAAAUGUAACCUGUUCUGAAAGACAUGAAAACAUGGAAAUGUUUCAUUAAAUACUAAGUGUAAUAAAUGACAAGUAAUCAUUUUUAUUAAAUUAAAGCAAUGAAUAAAU
Molecule: long non-coding RNA, 952 nt
Organism: Sinocyclocheilus rhinocerous
Lineage: Eukaryota; Metazoa; Chordata; Actinopteri; Cypriniformes; Cyprinidae
Exons: 2
Source: RefSeq, a predicted model, not a curated record